This 479-nucleotide ribosomal RNA is filed under the name uncultured anaerobic ammonium-oxidizing bacterium. Its description in RNAcentral is "bacterial SSU rRNA". It matches the Rfam family "Bacterial small subunit ribosomal RNA", at positions 364 to 833 of the family's 1533-position model. The record is from RNAcentral.
UUUCGCAAUGCCCGAAAGGGUGACGAAGCGACGCCGCGUGAGUGAGGAAGGCCUUCGGGUUGUAAAGCUCUGUCAGGAGUUAAGAAAUAUAAGUGUGUUAAUACCACAUUUAUUUGACGAAGGCUCCAAAGGAAGCCACGGCUAACUCUGUGCCAGCAGCCGCGGUAAUACAGAGGUGGCAAGCGUUGUUCGGAAUUAUUGGGCGUAAAGAGCACGUAGGUGGGUUUGUAAGUCAGAUGUGAAAGCCUUCUGUUCAACGGAAGAAUUGCAUCUGAAACUGCGAGUCUUGAGUGUAGGUGGGGAGAAUGGAACUUCUGGUGGAGCGGUGAAAUGCGUAGAUAUCAGAAGGAACGCCGGCGGCGAAAGCGAUUCUCUGGCCUAUUACUGACACUCAGUGUGCGAAAGCUAGGGGAGCAAACGGGAUUAGAUACCCCGGUAGUCCUAGCUGUAAACGAUGGGCACUAAGUAGAGGGGUUUUA